Molecule: small nuclear RNA, 154 nt
Filed under: Fundulus heteroclitus (mummichog)
Lineage: Eukaryota; Metazoa; Chordata; Actinopteri; Cyprinodontiformes; Fundulidae
Description: U12 minor spliceosomal RNA (ENSFHEG00000005951.1)
Rfam family: U12 minor spliceosomal RNA
About the family: Although the U12 sequence is very divergent from that of U2, the two are functionally analogous.
Source: RNAcentral
AUGCCUUAAACUGAUGAGUAAGGAAAAUAACGAUGCGGGGUGACGCCCGCAUCCUCGUUCAACAUACGAGAGGAAUUUUUGAAGGGGCAUAGGUCUGUCUGUUUAAGUGACUCGCCUACUUCGUGAGAUGCUUUGCAGAACAAGGACCUUCCCC